RNAcentral lists this long non-coding RNA (20187 nucleotides) under Cucumis sativus (cucumber). RNAcentral describes it as "long non-coding RNA (CSAT_LNC000850)". The record is from RNAcentral. Lineage: Eukaryota; Viridiplantae; Streptophyta; Magnoliopsida; Cucurbitales; Cucurbitaceae.
UUUUUUUUUUUUUUUUUUGUUAGACUUGACCUCGACAUUAUUCUCUCUAUAGACCCAUUUUAGUUAUGUGGGCUAAUUUUUUGACAAUAUGUUAUUUUGUGGCCUAGGCUUGCUUGCCAAUUGUGUUCAUAUUGAGUGUCCAUUAUGUACAUUAAUACAAAAUCAAUUACAACAAUACUCGUAUGGUUAUAUACUUUUCCUUAAAAUAGUUGCAAAAGUAGUGCCAAAAUCAGUUUCACAUGAGAUCACUGCACUAACUAACCUUAAGUAAAUUUUAUAUUAACUAAAAUAUUUUUGUUACCAAAAAUUAAUAGUAUCAUUCUAUGAAUGUGAACCUUUAUAUCAAUUUGAUUGAAUUAAUAAUUUUGAUUAAUAACUAUAAAAAUGACAAAUCAACGAAUGAUAUUAACUUAAUUUAAGGAAAAUUGUAUUAGAUGACAAAAAAAAAUGUAGAAAAAAACAACUUAUAACAUUUUUUUAUAUUGUAAAUUUGUCAAAUAUAACGAUAAUCAAAUGAUAAUUUGAUGUUAAUUUAUUUUUAAAUUUUUUAUUUUUGUAGUUUUGAAAAUGUGAGUAAUAUAAACUCUAUUAUCAUAAUUUUUUUGGUUGCUUUAACUGAAAAAGAAUGUCAAGAUACAGUCUACAUGUAACAACCAUCAAUUUAACUUUAAAUUAUAAGCAUAAGAAAAUGCAACUUGAAUUUCAAACUUCCAUUUAUUAAAUAGAUUGAUUAAUUGGACCACUUAGGUAACAAAGCUGCCAAAAAAUCUUGGCAAUAACAGCUAAUUAAUUAAAUUAGAUUACCAACAUAUGUGCUUUGAUUUCCACAAAGGGAAAUUUUGAAAUUGGGCUUUAACUAUUAUUUCAAUGCACCAACCCUCCUCCAAUAUUUUAUUUCAGUGUGAAUUCUAUUUGGUAUGUAUAAAUUAUUUAAACGUUUAUCAAGUUUUAAAAAUAAUUUAGGUAAACUAACAAAAUGUUGUAUAAAAUAGUAGUUCAAAUAUUUGAUGUGUUGAAGAUGAUGACUAUGAUAUGAGAGGAGUUUGUUUGUGUGGCGGCUAAAGUGGGUUUCUUUGAUAUGGAGUUGGAAAUUGACUCCUUACACAUGAUGCUAAGUUGCAAUAAAAGAAGGAAAUUAAAUUAUUAGUGAAAUCUCGAAAGUGGGUUUGAUCCUUAUAGAGAAGCAAAUAUGCAAGCUUUAUCAUUUUUAAACUUGUAUUUUUCAUCACUAACUCGUCCAACUAAUCAAGUUCAUUGAAUGUUGAAGACAAAAGUGUCAUUGAUUCAAAUGAAAGAAGUUACGGAAAAGAUUCCAUAACUUAUACAUGCAAUGCAAAUGUUGACAUAAUUGAUGUGAGGUUAGUUUGCUAUCUUUCAAUCCAAUUGUGACUCUUGGGGGAGUCAUCUUUCUUUCUAUAUAUGUUUAUUUUGGUUGUUUUGUUGUUCUUAAAACAAAGAACUAAAACAAAAUUAAUUUAACCUAUAUUUAUUUAUGCCCUAUUAAAAAAGAAUAUGAUAAAUUAGAACUUCCCCUAAUUUUAUAUUUAGAUAAAAUAUUGCAUUUAUUUAAUCUUUCCAAAAUUUGUCUUAAUUGUUUAUGUAAAAUUUAUUUUAGGAGACUUAUUAGAAACUUUUUUAUAUACAUAUAUAAUGUAUUAUAAAUAAACAUAGAGUCUCAAAGAGUUAAAAGUUAAUAUAUAAAAAUGUUUUAUUUCUAGACCGAAAAUAAAGAUGGAUUUGAAAAAAGAAAAUAUAAUUCCUCAAGUCAUUGGUUUAUACUUAGUGGCACUAAAAACAAUCACUAGACAAGUUGGACCAUGGUAUUUUUCAUGUGAUGAAUUUAAAAAACAAAUUUACUAUGGGGUGAAACUUCAAAAUCGAACAAGAUUGUUGAAUUACAUCCAAUCAAAAUACAUUACUAGACUAUUAUAUCCCACAUUAUAAAAAAAAAAUUGUCAUAAAAUAUAAUAUUUUUGAUUAAUAAAAUAACUAAUUUUAAAAAUCAAACAAGAGAGAAUGUAUUAGAAAGGAAGAGAUAGUUUUGAUAUUAAAUGAAAUUGUAGUGGAGAGAGAUUAUUUGUGUUGUUUCUCACCUUUUCUUUUCCCUCUCUUCCACCCUAUAAAUGCAAUCUCUCUUCCCAACGCCAUUUUUACCAUUUUUAAUUCCUUCCUCCAAUAACACAACGAAACACAGACUUUUCCUUUCUUUUCAUUUUCUUCAAAUCUCUGAAAACAGAGAGAGCAAUAAAUUAAUAACAAUGUCGAGGACUAUUGAAGAAGAAGAAGAUCCUCGCAUCAAUGGCAUCCGAACCAAAAUUCGAGUGGUUCCUAAUUUUCCAAAACCAGGUUCGUUCUUCUCUAAUCAAAUCUCUUCGUCCUUACCUUUUUUAUCCUCUCUCUCAAUUCCAAUAUCCUUUUAAUAUAUUCUCCAUUUUCGAUUCGCAAAUUUUAGGUAUACUGUUUCAGGACAUCACAACUCUGUUACUUGAACCUAAAGCGUUCAAGGAUACCAUUGAUUUGUUCGUUGAACGAUACAAGGGCAAAAACAUCUCCGUCGUUGCAGGUACAAGAAAAUCGCACCCAAAUUCUCCAAUCUCUGGUUCUUGAUUCCUAUAUAUGAGCGUUUAAUUACAACUUGAUUGAUUGAUUGUUCAUCGUGAAUUUGCAAAAUGUGGAUUUUUCACGCUCACGCCUUGAUUAACGGACGAUGAUUUUGUUAUGCCUUUCUCUAUUUCUUCCCUCCAACUUUUGUCCAAUGAUUCAAGAUGUUCAUCUUUUUUCUUUCCUUUUUUUGGAAAAUUUUAUUUUUUAUUUUACAAUUUUAAAAGUUUGUUUAUUUUUUUAAUCAAAUCGGUUUUUUUUUAAUUAUUAUAAUUACAUUAAUUUUUGUGUAAUCGACCUAAGAACCCAAUGGUAAACUAUGACAUGUGAGGUUAAAAUAUAUUUUUACUUUCUUAUAUCAAAGGAAAUGUAUUUAAAUGGAUGCAAACUUUAGUUGUAAUAAAGUUUUAUUUGAAAUGUUAUUUUAAAUGACAAUUUUUAAAAAUAUUGUAGAUAAAUUGUAAUAUUUCAUAUUUUAGUUAAUUUUGAUAGUCUUAAUUUAAAAUUAUUUUUACUUUUAUUUCGUUUGAUAUUCUGAAACAAAUUGUUUUAAAUUUUUGUCUGCAGAUAUGACCUAACUUUUUGCAUAACAAAAAUCAUUAUGGAAAGGACCAAAUAUCAAUUAACCUUUAAUUUACUAUACAAUUUUUUUUUUUCUUUUUUUCAUUUUGAAAAUACAUGGCCUAAAUUUUUACAUUUUCAUGAUACUAUAUUCCAGUUUUUUUUUCAGUAAUAUUUCAGACAAAUUAUGUCAUUUCACCUAAUUUCACUACUCAAUUUGAUCUUUGUCUUCAUGAUUAAUUAGUUUUCUUUUCUCUAACAUAUUUUGAAAUUAUAAACGUCAUACCUAAUGAAAACCAACCACAAAUUUUUCAAAUCCAAUUCUAUUAUUUUUGCCCCAUCAUAAUAAGAACAUUGCAUAUGUUCAAAGCUGUUGAAUAAUAGUGAUCCAUUAUAAGACUCAACUUCCAUUUUUAUUAAAGCUGAAGCAAGUUUGUUAUGUGUCUUACAAUUAAUUUCCACUUCACCAAACUUAGGACCAUUUUUUUUCUUUACAUGACUUGUUGGCACUCUUCCACUGCCUUUUGCUUGCUUUGGUUUUCCAACAUUGACCUAAAUUUUUAGAAUAAAGAGAUAUUACAUUUUUUUCUCGAAUUUGAUUGAUAAUCAUUUGGUGUUUUUAAUAGCUUUUUGAAAGGACUUAUAAACAACAACCUUUUAACAUGAUUUGAAUUUUGAAAAUAUUCUUUGUAAUGUAAAAUGCUUAAACAAAGAAAUGGUUACGUAGUACUUUUGUUGACUUUAGAUAGCAUAAUUUCUAGGCAGAUUUAAGCCACUAUGUCCCAACGUUUUUAUUUUUGUGUGGUCGGGAGGAAAAGGAAAAUAUACAUCUUGAAAUUCUUAUAGCUAGGGUUGUUUAAGGAGCCAUAAUGAAUGAGUUUGUAAUCAUGUAAUGUAAUCCAAAAUUUAUGUUUAAACCGAAAAGUUUGGGUCUUAUUUGUAAUCCAAACUCAUUCAAUUUUCAAUGUAACUCUUUUUUUUUUUACUAUUUUCACGCUUCACAAUUAUGUAUCAAUUAUGUUCUCUUUUUCAAUUUAAUCAUGAUUACAUUAAGUCCUCCAAAUAGUCUCGUAUACCGAUUAGAAUUGGUUCUAAGUUUAAAUUCAGUAAGUUUGAAAAAAACGAAAUAAUAAUCAAAUAGGCAUUUAUCCCUCGUAUAUUCGCUGACUUUCAUUUUGCAACACCAUAUAUUUAGUCAUCAACAGUUAGGUCGCUCUUGACUCUAAUGAUGUGAAAUUUAGGUUUAUUAGACUAAUGUAGAUUGAAUUUCCUAAUUUGGAGUCUUAAAUGGGAUAAGGUUGUUGUAUAGUUGAAAUACAAUCAAAUGUGAUUGAUGUAUGAUUAAUUAUGAUUGAACAGCUUAUUUUAUUGACGAAAAACUGUUGAAAUUCAAUCAACAUAUGAGCAUGGUCCUCUAUAGGAAUUAAAGGCUUGAAAGUCAAAAUAAUUAUUUGUCCUGUUUUAAUUUUUAUAUAUAUGUUAAAUAGUAUAUAAUUAGUCAAGCGUUUCUUUCACACAUUGAUGAUGGUAUAUAUGGUUGAAAUAUGUUUGUUUGCUUGUAUAUUUUUCAGGAAUUGAGGCUAGAGGGUUUAUUUUUGGUCCUCCAAUUGCUUUGGCUAUUGGAGCCAAGUUUGUGCCCUUGAGAAAACCAAAGAAAUUACCUGGUAAUAUCUUCAAUCCUAUAAAAUGAUAAUACAUUAUCCUAAUUAAACUAGUAUUAUUAGCCCUAAAUCACAACUCAUUUUAUGUUUAUCUAUUAACGUAUAUAGUUGAAAAUUUAAUACCUUGUUUAUAUCCUUCACAAUCAAUAGAAAAUUGACAUAAAUAUUUACAUAACUCAUUAACAAUUUAUUAUUUAAAAGGAAAUAUAUAUCAAGUCAUUGAUUCAAAUGCACUAAUAGAAAGUUAGAGAAAUUAUACAAUCCUGACUAAUAGAAAGUUAGAGAAAUUAUACAAUCCUGCCUUCUUAAUAUCUUGAAGUCAUGAUGAUAAGUAAUGUAAAUAAGAUAAAUAGAUUCAACUUAGAUAUGAAGAUAUGAUACUCCUCUAAACUAUGGGUUAUUCAAAGGGGUUGGGUAACUGAUUCAAAACGUUCUAAUACUUAAAUAAUCUGAUUUAAAGUAGUACAUAUGAAUUAUUGUUUUCUGAGGUCAUUGUUGCCAAUUUUUUCUUUUAAUUUUUCCUAUUGAUUUGCUUUUCAUUCCAUCGCAUGCCUUGUUUUUCUCUUCUUUUUAGUCUCUCCCUAACAUGCAAGACCCUACAUACUCUCUCUCUCUUGCAUGAUCUUGACCCUAAACCAUUUUCCCAUUCUCUCUUUUCUCUCUCCUACAUGCAACCACUCCCUUCUCUCUCCUACAUGCAAGGCUCUGCCCAUUCCUUAUUCACCUUCUUUCAUGCAAAUCCCAAACCUCUCUUUUACCCAUCACCCAAAAGUACUAAAAAAAAAUGUGAAUUCUUCCCUUUAUAUACCCCUCUAACCCUACUACCAUUUAUGGAUUUGGUCACUCAAUUUUGUAUUUUGUUCUAUUUCGAUGGUUAAAAUUUUUAAAAUAUCUGUUUUAGUAUUUAAAACUUUUAGAAAAAAACUUACUUUCAUUGUUGUCCAUUAGAUCUUCACAAAAUCUUCCUAAUUUAUUCUACAAAUCUUUUGUGCCAACACAAAAACAUAAUCAAUACACUUUUGAAUAAAAUAAAUCACAAAACUAAUUAGUUUUUUUUUCAAAUCUCAACUUUUUCAUGUUCUCUUUCCUAUUUCCUGCUUCCCCAUUCCUUGAUUUUUUUAAAAAAAGAAUUUUAAAUUGAAAUCUUGAAGCAAAUAAAAAAAUUGAAUAAUAUUUUUAAAAAAUAUAACCUAAUGGUGUUAACAUCUCUAACAAGAUAGAAAAGACUAAAAAUAAUCAUACUAAAAAUAAUCAAAUAAGAACAACUUACAUGGAAAAUAAAUAUUAUGAAAUUACAAAUAAAUAUUCUCAUGAUAAAUCAACUUAAUUAAUAUGAUAAAUGUAGAGGCUAAUCUACAUUUCAUUAAAAGUUUAAUUAAUUAAAAAUUUGAAGACUAAAACAAAACUUUAACACAAAACAAGUUACAAAAUAUAGAAUUUAUAGCUGAAAUAUGUAUUUAAUAUUAUGAUAAAAAGCUAAAUUAUUGAUAAUAAUUUUUUAAAAUAAAUAAAAUAGAAUAUAAAACGUUUUAUAAGGAACAGCAACAUUAGGUCUAAUAAGAAAGACAAGACAAUUGCAUUUUGAAAAAGGAAAAGGAAAGAAAACUACAAGGCAAGUGGGAAUAUCACAUUGGUUGCCUUUUGUAACUUAUAAAUGUAGAAGAAGCAGAUCAUGUGAUAUGCUUCCCUAAAAACAGUAAACUAUAAUAAUAUUAUACUUUUUAUAAAGAAAAAAAAUAUUAAACACUUAGUUAUUCUAAAAAUACAUAUGAAUUAAAAUUUGUUUACUAUUUAUAUUUUAUAUUGAAAAUUUGUUGUAAACUGUACAAGUAUUAAAAUUAUUUAUUAAGAUAUACUCUAUAGGAUAGAAUCUAAACCUCGGUUAUAUUUUAUAAAUAUUUUGAUUUAUUGGAUUAUAUUUAAAAAUGUCUCUAUUAUAUUUACAUUAACAUAUGUGGUAUCAUUGAUUUUUUCUAAUAAAAUAUAAAAAUGUUUGAAAUUAUUUGAAUAGAACACAUGAAACAAAUUAUUGAAAAUGGGAGGGGUUUGUCUUUUUUUAGAUUAGUUAUAAUGAGUAAAAAAUUUAAAAAUAAUAAUCAAGUAAGUGUAUAACAACGUUAUAAUAAAAUUAAAAAUAUAUUAAAGUUUAUCCACGAUGAACCAAUAUUUAUAAUAUAGUCGAUCAAGUAAUAAGUUUUUAUUAUCGAUUAACUUGGAUAGAUUUUGCUAUAUAUAUAUUAAUACUUUAAAUGUAAUAAUUAGAUUUGUGGGGGUUGGUUUAGGUGAAGUAAUGCAUGAAGAGUACGUUUUGGAAUAUGGAAGAGAUUGCAUAGAAAUGCAUGUUGGGGCUGUUGAGGCUGGGGAACGUGCUUUGGUUGUUGAUGACUUGAUUGCCACUGGUGGUACUCUCUCUGCAGCCAUCAAUUUACUUGGUAUUUACUACUAUUAUAAUUCCCUCCAAAUAUUCAUCUUUUUAUUUCUUGAAAAGUUAUAAAUAAUCUAUUUUUCUCCGAGUAAUAAAGUUCAUUGAAAAAAAAUUAAUUAUGAAAAGAUGUAGUAGAUAGAAUGGUAUAACGGAUAGUGUUUCGUAUAAAUGUUAAUAUUUUUUUUCUUAAACUUUGAGUUCGUUUUUUAAUAUAUUGAAGUUAUUUUUGAUUUUUUUCUUUUUUGGAAAUUGAGUCUACACACAUUUUUUAAAAUUAUUUUAAAGUUUCUUGUUUCGUUAUAUAUUCUUUUAACAUUUUAAUUAGUAUAAUUCUCAAGAUUUACUGGUAUUAAUUGAUAUUGUUAAAAUAUUUAACGAGUUUUUCAAACUUUAAAUUUUACUUUUAUAAAUCACAUAGCUGAGAUGUCAUUGACUUGUUUGAUAUUCUUUAUAAGUACUUUUAAAACUGAAUGGAUAUGUUAGAAUUUAAUCUAUACUUUAAACUUAAAGUUUAAUAAGAAUAGUUAGAACUGAGUUUUUUUAAAAAAGAAAAACAAACUAUUUUUGUAUAAAAUAAAUUACUAAAAGACAAUUAAUUACAUUCUAAUAAGGGUAAAUAUUUUUGUGAAUUUUUCUAUUUUGACCAUUUUCGUUUAUGUUAUUUAAGUUUGCCAUUUUUAUGAUUGGUAAUUGUCAACCAAAUGUUUUGUGUAGAACGAGCGGGAGCCGAAGUGGUUGAAUGUGCUUGUGUAAUUGAAUUACCAGAGUUGAAGGUAAGCCCAAUGCUUUAACCCAUUUGGAUUGAUUUAAAAAAUGAUUUAUUUAAAAUAAUAAUUACAAUCGACAAUAAUUUUGUAGAUAAUAAUCAAAUGUAUAGCAAUAUUUUAAAAAAAAUUGCAGAAAUAAUUUAUGGUUGUUAGGCUUUUAUGGUCUAUUGUUGAUAUACCAGAUCUAUCAUAGAAUAUGAUAUUUGUAGUUUUUUUAAUAUAUGCUUUGAAUCUAAUUGCUUAAAUAAACUCAUUUUUAUUUAGACAAUUAGGAUAAAAACUGAUUAUAAUACAUUUCAAAAACUACUUUGAAUGGUUAUAAAACACUUUAUUUUUUUUCUAAAUGAGUUGGUUUUUAAAUCGAACACUUGAAAAUGUAUUUCAAACGCAUUCUUCAAUUUCAAAUAUAUAUUACCAUAUCACCAAUAAAGCUCUUCUUACUCGAUAAUUUACUGUAACUUUGAUUGGUUAUCGACAUUUCAAUUUGUGAUUAAUUUUUGGUAAAUGAUAACAAGGGUUUGAAAGCUAUUUCGUUUAAUUUUCAAAAUUUGACCUAUCUUCUGAAAACACUAAUAAAAGUAUACAAUAAAAACAAAUAAAUCAACAAGUACAAAGUUGUAUAGGUAAGUUUAAUUUUUCUAAUUAAAAAACAGAAACCUAAUAUCUCUUAUAUUUUAAUUUUCUUUUAAGAACUUACCAAUGUGUUUUUUAAUAAACAAACUUAAAGGUAUUCAAAUGUAUAUGUAUUUGUUAAGAUAAUCAUAUUUACACUGUAUGGUUGGUAACUUAUUAGUGAUAUGUCUGUAUUACCAAUAGUUUUUAAAAUCGUAACAAAUUAUUUUAGGUUGUAUUAUAUCUACAAAUAGUUUUGACAUAAUUGGUAUAUGUACGUGUAUAAACUGCUCCUAAAAAAUGGAACAAACUUUGUUGACAGGGUCGGGAGAGAUUAAGCGGGAAAUCAUUGUACAUUUUAGUGGAGUAUCGACGCGGUUAAGUUGCCGCAAUGAUCAUGAGGGUGUACGAAGAUAUGUGUACAUUGGAGGACUCCCCCUUCUUGCCAGAUUCAUUUUGAUCUCUCAUCUCACACAGUUUGUUUUUUCGUUCUUGUUCCUCAGCUUCUUGCUUUUGCUCUAUUUAAUCAUUGAAUUUUAUAUUUGGGAACUUUGAAGUUUCACAUGAAAAAGAAAAAGAGAGAUUUAUCUUUCGACCACCAUUCUUUCCUUGACUUACUUGAAGCUUUUUGCUUGGGGGCAUUUGCAGCAGAGAGUCCAAAUAUUGAAUAUGGUUUAUUUGUUGCUAAAGGUAUGAUUAGGGGGAAACAUUGUGACUUCAAAUAAUAUAUGUUUCUUGUGGUUUGUCUAGGAUGAAUGAGAGGUUUUUUUUGCAACAUAAAUAUUGAGGAGUAGUUCUUCAAGAGCAUUUUGAGUAUAAACGUACGAACUUGGAUUUGAGACAUGUCUUUAAAAUUAUUAAAAUUUCACUAAAGGAUGUCAGACGACAUUAAAUCUAGUUUAGUAUAGGAAUUUGGUUUGUUUCUUCAACUUUUUUUUUAAAAAAUUCAUACUAGAGGUCAGAGAGAUUAGUACCCGUACCUAGAUAUCUCAAUUAGGUUGAUAACUCCUUAAUUAGCACCAUUAUCAGUCAUCAUGUUUCAAUUCAAAAAUAUUUAUUGAUGAAUGUGGAGAAGAGCAACCUAGCUUAGUACAAGUCCUUGGUUUGUUGCUCUAUUUUUUUUUCUUUUUGAAAAAGAUAUGAUUGGACAAUAGUUGUAUAAAGACAUCUUCAUUAGGUGAACACCUUCUCAACACUAUCAUCAUUUCCGCUUCAUUAAUGAUAAGAAAAAGAAGUAAGGAAUCACAAAAAAAAAACUAGAGAGAAGCAAGAAGCAACUCGUGACUUUGUUGGUUCAUUUACGACGUGGCAAUUUCUACAUUUGUUGCAAGGUUUGAAUCUCAAAAUUAUUAGCAUAUGGUUAGAAUUGAUGUGAUGGUGAAUUGGGGUGAUGGUUAGGGUUUGGUUUGAAUUCCAAAUCCAAUUACACAAAAUAAAAUUACACUUUUUUUGUAGUUUUAAAUUUAUAUAUAUAUUAGUUGGUAACACGUGCUAUGCACAUUAACUUUUCAUUUUAUUUGACUAAAUAAAAAAAAAACUAAUUAUACCAAAAAAUAUGAAGCUUAUUUAUUUACUCGUGAUUUUUGAAAAUACAUUUUUCAACUUCAUUCUUUAUUUCUUGAGAGACGCCCAUUUCUUGAAAGACUUCUUACUCAAGAUUUAUGAUAUACGUGUGUAUAAAUUGAAUGAUCUAAAAGAUAUAAAGGAUUUAAUCAUAUAAAACAAUUUAUUCAAUCAGAUUUUAGAUCGAUAAGUGGUUUUUUUCUUUCAUAUGUUUCAAUUACAUAUUGAAUAUUUAAAUGGAUUGAAAUUUUGGAUAUAGACAUUGACUUGAUUAUUAUUUGAACAUUUGUGCCAAUUCUAUAUAUUUUAUGUAUUUCUACCAUAUUCAAAAAGUAUAAUUAUUUAACAAAUUUCUCGAGAAUUAUAAUUAGUUAUUGUUUUGAAAUGAAUAAUUAAAUUUAAAUGAAAAUAUAUUAUUGAAAUAAUACAAAUUGAUAGUGCACUUUUUUUUUCGAUCCCUCAAUUAUAAGAUCCAUAAUAUACUAUAGUGGUAAGCACAUCCUACAUCUUAACAUCAAAAACAUACUUAAUUACAAAGCAAUACUUAAAAAUUGAAAAACCUAUAUCUUUGGCAUCCUCAUGUCACUUUGUUAUUUUUUUUGAAAUGAUGCUUCUGAACGUUCUCUAUUUAGUCUCCGACUUUUACAUUCUUCAUCCUUGAAUUCUCAUCAAUUUUUCUGCAUCUUUUUAUUGGGUCAAUUGAUUGCUCCUAGGCAUCACAAAAAUAUGACGAAGCUAAGGUUUGUGGGCUUUUGUAGUCUUGACUCACAAAUCUUCAUUUAAACUUGUUAGAAGACUAAUUGAAAAAUGAUCAAUUCAAUUGUAUAUAUAGAAUAUAUUGAAUAUGGUGCAUGGAUUUGAAAAUCAACCUAGUUGAAUGUAGAUGAAAAUGUAUGAAACAUAAUAUUUUAUUGAUAAAAUAUAAAUUUUGGAUGAUAUAGUUUUUUUUAUAAUUUUUAUGGGUCUGUCUUCAAAAGUCAAGAUGGAUAUUUUAUUUGUUCAGCUCGUUUAAAGAAAGUUUGUGAAGAAUAUUCUAAUUAUGGGAAAAUUAUUUUAUUUGGUUCAUUUUAACAAAUAUUAUUUCCUUUUUGUGAAGAUUUGUUGUUGAGUUCAUAAUGUGCAUGUAUGGCCGUUAUUCAGUGUGCUUCAUUUGGUAAAAGAAUGGAGAGAAACGUGUGAUUGCGCAAGUGGAAGAAGACAGUUUUGUGAAGAAUGACUUCGUGAUUAAACAGUCAGUUAUUCAUAAGAAUUUGAAGUGUGUUUUUCUGUAAGAGUGAGAGAAACGUUGUUGCUGUAGAAGAAGAUAGUUUUGGGAAGAACGACUUUGUUAUUAAACAGCCAGUUAUUCAUAAGAACCAGAUGCAUGUAAGUCUUCUCUCAAUGGUGUGAUUUGUUGCUGAUACUUGUACCAGCUACUAUUUAGCAUGAGUUUACAACAUCUGAAAUUCAAGUUUAUGUAAUAUGAUGUUUUAAAAAGAACUUUUGUUUACGUCUUGAUGAAUGACGUGAUUCAGGGGGAGUUCCUCCAGUACACUACGUUAAUCAACUGAUUAAUGAGAAACUUGAUCAAGGGAGAAAUUUUGAUUAGUCAAAUCUAUCUGUGAAUAAGUUUAGUGAUAGAGUUACCUUAUGUAAUGAUGUAUCACUCAUAGUACUGAGUGAAGAUUAGUAGUGUCAAUCUUUGUACUAAAAAAUCAUAAUAAGUUGAAUCUCUGAUCUAGGGUCAAGGACCCCUCAGACGUAGAUGUUAUGUCAUCAAAUUUGGUUAAACAAUGUCUAGUGUUUCUACUUUCUCUACUUAUAUGCACUGUUAGUUGUUCUUACUGUUGGUGAUUCUAAGGUUUCAUCCAUAUUAUUUGUUGUUGUUGCUUUCACUGUUUAUCAGUUUUUGUUGAGUCUUUCCUAAAAUUGAAAAGUUAUGGGGGAGGCAAAAGAAAACUAAAAGAUUCAAUACGUUUAAAAUACAUUUGAGACUAAAUUAAAAUUAUAAUAUAAAAAAAUGACAUAAUUUCUCAAAUUUUAAUCUACUCAGAUUUUAUGGAUCGACUAGAAGAAUAACAAUUUAAAAGUUUGCAUUUUGAAAAAUAACAAAACCGCUUUUUUUUUUUCUUUAAAAAAUGACAAAACCAAAAAAAUACAAUAAAUAAGAAUUUGAAAAACCCAGAAUACCCCUAUAUACAUAGAGUGCGAGCUACUUUCUUAAGCUAAAAUAAAUAUAAUUACACUCUAAUAAAUAUUGAAACAUAAUUUACAACUACAUACUUGGCCAAUCAAAAUCCCCUCAUCUUCAUUUUCCAGGUCGGUUGCAAUGAUCUUUCAUUUUUCAUUUUUGCUUUUUGAUUCUCCAUCUUCCUAUGUCUCAAUUUUCCAUUUUUAUUUUUUGAUCCCAUCUUUUUCAAGCGGACAAACCCUAAUCUUUCCACCUUUAAGUGGGCAAACCCUAAUCUUUACCCUAGCUCCCUUUUGCAAAUAAACGUUUCAUUUGAAGUUUCAGAUCAUUUUCAACUUCAUCAUGCAUUUUCAAGAAGAAAAAUAUAAACAUUUGAAGUACGCAGACACUAUCUUCAUUUUCAAUCUUCCAUCUUCGAUCUUCAAGUCUACAACCUGCAAUCUCGAACACUUGGGUUGAAGAACAAAAUUCACUCGAAAGAACAAAAAUACAAAAGUUAUAUCUUCUUUGUCUCUUAGGGGAAAUUGUAGCUGGUUUUAUUAAAAAAAUUAUUUAUAUUAUUUAAUUAAUAAAAUGUAGAUAGAAUUUGAGAGAUUUUAUCUAAAAACACACUAUCUUAACCUAUUUUGUUGAGGAAAAAGUAAAAUAGUAAAUCAUUUUAAAAUAUUUUUUAAAAAUAUAAUUGAAAGGGACAAAAGAGAAGAAGACCAUGAUAAAUGCAAUACGAAACUAAGUAGUGAAUAAGAGGUAUUCCCUUUUUUAAAAAAUAAUUAUUUCAAAUGUACGACCAUAGUUAAGAGGAACAAGAGAUUAAAUUUGAUGUAGAAGAAAAUAAGGAAAACCAAUUAAUGAAGCGAUUGGCUAUGAGUUAAAAAGUUCAAUUUUAAAAACAAAUUAAGAUCUAAUUUUAAUUUUAAUUUUAAAAUUAAAAAUUCAAAUUUAAAAAAUAAAUUAAGAUCUAAUACAAAAUCUAAUUUUAAAUUUUAAAUUAUUAAUGGUCUAAAGAUUCAUAAUUGUUAUUUUGAAAUAAAAACAAGAGUUGAGAUUUAGCCCAUGAAAAUUAAUAAUAUGGUUAUUUUGAAAUUAAAAAAAUGAAUAAAAUUGUUAAAAUCUUCAACAAAAUUGUUAAGGAAGAGGUUAUGAUAGGCGUUGGAUACGUUAUUAACGUGUCAAAAUUAAUUAUAGACUCAUAAGUGCAUAUCAUAAAUUAAUUAAACUAGAGAGACUUCUGAUAAGAAUGCAAAUAUUAAAAUAAUUACAGUUCUCAUAUGUGAGUAUUUUAUUUCUUCAAUCAUAUAAACAUCCAAUCAUAGACGUUAAACCAAUAUUAAUAGAAAUUAUAAUUUAAUUAAUAUUAUUUCGUCAAAUAAAUAUGUUUUGGUUUAAAAGUCUUUCUAAAUACAAUUAAUGCAAUAACACGUUUUUAAUUUUAAUUCAUUUCCACCGUUGUAUAAUUAAUGGUACUAAACUAAUUAUAUAUGUACACAAAGCUAUAUUUUUUUAAUAAGUUAAUUUGAAUUUAAUAAGAAAUAUUGAGAAAUAAAUUAGAGAGUUCUUACCUAAACAACAAGCAUGAAAAAAGAAAAUUGACAAAAUAAUUUACAUUUAAACAACUGUUAUUAAUUAAAAUUACACAAACACACACCGAAACCGUUAUGAUUUGAUCAUUGCAAUGUAACUAUGAUGGAAGUUAUGAUAACGGUGAAAUGAAAGUUAUGAUAACAAUUGUUUUCAUCACAUCUACAUUGAACAAUACUCUUAUAAGUUUAGGGUUCAUGAUAGGAAAUUAGUUCAGUUGACAUGAUGAAGACAUAUUGACUAUUUUUAAAAUUUUCAAAUUUCAAAAAUAAAAUAAGAUCUAAUAUAAAAACUAGUUUUAAUUUUCUAAUUAUUGAGGAUUGAGAUUCAACAAAUUAAGGUUAUUUAGAAAUAAAAUUAAGGAUUGACACGAUGAAGACAUAUUGACUAUUUUUUUAAAUUCAAAUUUCAAAAAAUAAAAUAAGAUCUAAUAUGAAAACUAGUUUUAAUUUUCUAAUAAUUAUUAAGGGUUGAGAUUCAAUUAUUUUCAAAUAAAAUUAAAGGUCGAGAUUCCGCUAAUAAAAAAUAAUUAUUUGGUUAUUUUGAAAUUAGUAAAAUGGAAUAAAGUUAUUAAAAUCUUCAACCAAUUGAGAUAUUAGGAAGAUGUUAGGAUAGGUGCUGUUAUAUCUCCAAGGCAUCGAAAAUAUUUAUAGACUCAUAAAUGCAUAAUACAAAUUAAUUGCAAAUUAAAAAAUAAAUAAAAAGUAAAUUACUGAAAAUAAGUAAAUCUACUAAGAAGAAUGACAAAAUUGGAAACCAAAAGUUUUUCCACAUCCAUACAUUUAUAUAUUAUAUAUAUUAUAUACUAGUCUUUCAACACGUGCAUUGCACAUGACUUUUUUAAUAGUCAUUUUAACUUAUUAAAUGAAUAUAAAAAAAAUAUGAAGUCAAUAAAAAAUCACAUAUAACAAAAUUUAACAAAUUUAAUUUUAAAAAGAUACAUCAUUUAAAUAUAUAUAUACAUAUAUAAAAGAUACACAUUACAACUGCUAUCAUUAAAAGUUAUUUGAUAGUGAGUUUAUUGAAGAAAAAAUGUUUGAUAAAAAUGUCAGAAAAAAAGUGAAAAAUGAAGAGGGUUAAAAGUAAUUUUGUAUUAACGUUUUAAUGUUUAAUGUAUUCUAUAAAAUAUAAUGCAUUAAAAAUAAUAUUGCAAUCAAUAUUAAAUUCUUGAAUUAUAAUAAAACUUGUUUUUUCUUUAUUUUGCAAACAUAUUACUUUCAUUUUAAAUAUGUAUAUAUAUUUUUUAAGUUUAUAUCAUUUCUGAUUGAGAAAAAGAAUAUAUUCAUGAAAGAAAACGUGAAAACAUUUAUUAGAGGGAAGAGAUUAGUAUAUGCAUUUAAGAUAAUUUUUUUAAUCUACUUAUUUGAUGUUUAAAAUCAAAUUAAAAAUUAUUUUUUCAAAUAUAACCGUAUAUUAUUUAUUAAAGAACUUAUUUUAUAAUUUAUUUUAGGAAUGAAAAAAGAAAAGGAGAAAUUUAGUGCACUUAUCUAAUAUCUUAUAUCAUACCAAUUGAAUAAUUCUUUGUCAAGAAGAAAAAAUAAACAACAUUUUGUAGAAAAAUGUGAUUAUCUAUAUUCUAGAGCACACUAUAAAAUAAAUAACUAAUUUUAGAAAAAUGGUUGAGUUUUGGAAAAAAAUACACAUACAAGAUUUUUAUAGAAAAAGGUAGACAAUGGUGAUGUUUAUUUAAUUUUAAGAGUUAUGGUUAAAUGAUUGAAAUUUUCAAACUUUUCAAAUUUUAAAAUUUAUUAAAAUUUAUUGUAAAAUCAUAGAUUUGUUAUGACAUUUUAUUAUUUUUAAUGGAUUUGUUAUGACAAAAACCAAAAAGCUACUUUGAUAUUUCUACCUUUACAUUGUAUUACUUUUAACUAUAAUUAGUAAUUUGAUUUCAAUAAAAGUUACAUAAUUCAAUCCCAAUAAAAGUGUAUUAACCACCCUUCACCAUUUUAUUAAUAAAACAACUCUAAUAAAAAACAAAAAUUAAUUAAAUGAAAAAAAAAACAUAAACAAAGAAUGUAUUCUUUUAUAUUGUUCAGGUUUCUCCAUUGUUACAUUCUAAAAAAUAUAUAUCUUCAUGGUUACCUGACUCAAACAUAUUUUAUGAAAAAAAAUACACACAAACAUAUAUUUAGAUCACAUGUUUACAUUCUAACAAAAAAAUCUAAGAUUACACGAUUUAAACAUCCAUGAAAGAAUACAAACAGACAUAUUUAUAUAUAAAGGUAAAUAAAUACAACAAAGAUGAAAAAAUAAAAGAGAACAUAAGAAUGAUAAUUUGAUUUUUUUUAUUUACAUCUUAGAUUUUUGUUGUGACUUAUGAUCAGUUUGAAUGGAAGAAAAGAAUAAAUAUUUAUACUAAAAAUUUUCGAAGAGGAAGAAAUUAAAAGGUUGGAAGAUGAUAUAGAAAAGUUAAUAAGAGAGAAGAGAAUGUGAAUAAUUUAAAGAUAAAAGUUUAAGAGAAGAUGAAAAUAAUGGAUGUUGAAAAGAAAAGUUUUAAUAAGAGAAUUAAUUAAUUAGAGAGAAAAGUGAGAUUUUUUAGAUGUAGAGAAAAUUAUUUUCUUACAUUUAUGAAGAAACAAUAUUGGAACGAGAGAAUAAUAAAUAAAUUAAUUAAAUAACAUAAAAGAAAAAUAUAGACUAUCAUAAGAUUCAACAAUCAUAUUAAUAAAACAAUUUUAAAAAAUUAAUUUAAUUUAGCAAUUAACUACCUUAAUUUUUGUAUUUAAAUGACAAAAUUGUUAAAAUCUUCUACUUCCAAUGUUACUUAAGGAAAUAAGAAAAAAAAUAAAAGAAAAAAAUAAAGUACUAAAUAAUGUUGUCUUCUUCUUUAGUAUACAUAACUAUCUCGGUGAGUUAGGACCAAUGGGUGUCAAGAAAUUAAUUGCACAUUUGCACUUUUACCCUCACUUUAUAUGCACACGAUCUUCUUCAAAUGAGUUUCCAUCUUGACAUGUUAAAUAUUGAACUUUUGGAGAAAAAGUUGAGAGGGAAAGAAUAACAAACUAAUGAAAUAAAAUACUGAAUAAUGUUGAUAGAAAGAAAUUAAGGAAGGAAAGUUGAAGAAAUAUAAAUGGAAAACCAUUAGUACUCUUCCAUAAUUAAUUAUAUUAAAAAAAUAAAAAUGAAAAAGAUAUUUAAUUUAUAAAAGGUAAAUGAAAAACAAUUAAUCUUUUACAAUUAAUUAUAUUACAAAAAAAAAAUGAAUUUACCAUAAAACCAAAACGUGAAUUGAAACACAUUAAACUUAAGGGUAUAAUGGAAAGAAAAAAAAUUUAUUCACAUUGAGGCUUUUAUAUAUACUAUAGAUUAUUACUAGUCCUUAACACAUGUCAUAUUUACAUUUUAUGAUAACAACAUUUUCUUUGGACAACUUUUAUUUCAACUUUGUUUAAAAUUAAAUCAAUAAAUAAUUCCUAAAAAUGGAAUGCUACACUGAUUACUAGACAAUUCUAAUUUGUCAUCGUUAAAAAAAUGAAUUAAUUAUAUUACAUUAGUUUUCUAUACUAUAUUUUACAAACUUUUAUAAAAGAGAAUUGACAAUGGAAUAAAAAUACAAAUCAAGAGAAGUGACUAACCCAAAGUUUUCCUCUUAUACAAGUACAUAUAGAUAUUCUUAAACAAAUGACAAUUGAUGGGAUUUUUGUAACAAUUAUUUCAUAAAUCACUACCAAAUAACUAUCAUUUAAGAGUGUAUGCUUCUAUUAGUGGGUCUUGCUCUAUUGAUGUUUGUAUGAACCUUCAAAUAUGCUUCCACUUUUACUGAUACUGUGGAUUUACAUAUUAGACUAAAUCUAGAAACCUUUUAUCAAUUUGAUUAGUCUAGCCUUUGGUGGACAGAUCAAUUAGACACUCAAUAUUCAAUGAAGAUGUUCUAAAGUGUAAUUUUUAUAUAUCAACUUGAAACAUUGAUGAAAUGUAAAAGAUUUUCUAGAGAGAUAUAAUUUUAAAACAAACACAUCUUACCACAACUAAAAUAAAUAUAAAUUAAAAAGAGAAAAAGAAAAGAAAAGAAAAGGUUUGCCUUGAAACUAUAAGAUUAGAAUCAUGCAAUCAAAAAAAGAUAUUUUGUUUGGAAGCUAUCCAAUUUGUUUGCAAACUUGAGAUAAUAAACUUUGUUUGGGUUUCAAGUUACAAAUUUACAAUUACCAUAAUUAUCUAAUAAGGUAUUUAUAAGUCAUUUAGUUUCUUUUUCAAUUAGCAUAAUUUCAAAUAGAAAGAUUAAAGAGGACAAUGAAUUAUUGAUUAUUUUUAUUUUAAAAGUUGGAUGAAUUUUUUGGUUUUUUUAACUAGGUUCAUAAGUUACAAUUAACCUAAUAAAUUCAUAAAGUAUUUAUAAAAUCAUAUCAUUUAUUCUUCAAUUACUAUUAAAAUAGGAAAGUGAAAAGAUACCAUUGUUCCCCAUGCAAUAAUAGAAAAUAGUACAAUGGAAGGGAAAAAAUGUCCUAAAAAUUUUCUCUCAUCUAAGUUUUAUAUAUACCGUAGAUUAUUAUUACUUGUAACAACAUAUGAUAUGUCAAAUGUCAAGGUUUUAUUAAAAAUUUAAAACAACUUUUUUUCAAACAAAAUGUAUAACAUUUAUUUUUUUUUAUAUUUAUAUCCUACUCUUAUUGAGUUAAAAAAUAUCAUAGAAAUUGUGCUAGUAAAUUAUUUGUUUUGAUAUUAGAUAUUGUAAUAUACACCAUAAAUCAAACAUUUUAAAUGAUAUUUUUAAAUAUGUAUAUUGUAUUUUUCAUUAUGUUCUUAUUAAAUUAUAUUUUUUCAUAAAAUAUUCUAUAUAUAAUACAAAUACAAUAUUUUCUACGUAAUACAAAUACAAAGUAAAAUAGUAAAUUAUUAGAACAAUAAAUUUUUAAAUGAAAGAAAAGUUUGUUUGAAGUAUUUGUGUGUGCCUUUUUAGGUAUUGCUAAUCAUCUUUUUUAUACUAAUAACCCUAAGUUAUUAAUUAUCUAUUUUUUUAAAGACAACAUAUGAGUAUGAAAUACAAUUUUAAAAAAAAUUAGAUUCACCCAUUCAUCUAACUUGUACGUGACUUGAUGCUCCACUGAUGCGACCUCAAACAUUCUCAUAUUUCUUUAUCAUUGUUCAUCAUUACAAGCUUAAGACUUCAGAGAGUGAUAUUUUUCAAUUAGCAUAGUGAGCUUUAUAUAGUGAAUUAAAUUUGUAGAAUGAAAAGAGACCUCAUAUGUAAAUUUUUAUUUAUUUAUUAUUAGGUGUGAAGUGUCUAUUUAACGUAGUCAGUGGGUGGUUUUGUAAGAUAAUUUUUUUUAAUGAAAAUCCAUUUUUAAAAAAAUGAUUGAAAAUCUAAGAAGCUAAAAGAUUUUUGGAAUUAAAAAUAAUUAAUAUCUAAUGAACGUGUUUAGAUUUUAAUUGUUAAUUAAUAUGUGAUUUUACAAAUUUCGUUUGAAUUUUUAUUUAAAAUUGACAAAAUUUUGAUUAAUGUUAUACUUAUAAUUACUUAAAUGAAAUGGACAAAAUGAAAAUAGAAAGUUUCUAUGUAUAUAGGUAGUAUAGAUACGUGUGUGUGUAUAUAUAUAUUAUAGAAUAUCACAAUUCCAAGGUCAAAACUAAGGAUGAAAAUAUCUAUGUAUCUGUAAAUUGAAAGAUUCGACGUCGAUAUUAAAUAUCCACGAAUUUCUCCAUCUUUUAUAAAUGUUCGUAAGACAAAAAAAAAGUGUCAUCUAUUUAGUUCAAUAUAAAUAUAAAUACGUAUAACUUAAUUUAGAGUAAAAAAAGUAAUUAUUAAUUUAAAUAAAUUUUAUUGAGACUUAUUUGUGAAUAUAGAUAUUAUAUAUAUUUUAUAGAUAUAUUAAUCAAAUUGAAUUAUUGAUAUUGAUGUUAAGAUUGAUAUUUAAUGAUUGAUCUAUUGAAAUAGAAAUGAUAUAAAAGUAUGAUUGAUCUAUUGAAAUAGAAAUGAUAUAAAAGUAGCAAGUCUUAACCUUAUUUUCAGAUACAAUAAGAUGGAAUGUUAGAUUUUGUGUUUUGAUUGGGGGCUUAAUGCAAAUUAUCAGCCCCAAGAAAAGAAAGUAAAAUGAUAAAACAAAGAAAUCUGGAGUUGUACACAAACCUACAAACAUAUUUAUUUAUCAAUAUACACAAAUCAUGAAACUUGUAUACAAACAAAAACCAUGACUUUGACACAGCCCUCAUACACAGAAUGGGUAAGGUAAACACAAUACCAUGACUUGACUUUCAUAUGUUUAUUGGAUAGGUUUUAGACUUUGCCUAUACAUUAUUUCUUUUAAUACAAAC